AGUGAACAAAAUGUAUUACUUAAUUGAACUGUUAAUUCUAUUUAUUUGUAUAUAGUUCUAUAUAGACAAAUGUUAUUACUGAAAACUGCCUUCAUAAACACAGAAAAGAAAUGCAAUGAGGAUCAUACCUGCCGCAAAUUGGACAGUUCUGUGUUGGUCCGGACUUGUUUAGACUUGGCAGAUUGAAGAAGCUGAUCUUGUCUAUUUGCUUUCUCAACUGUUUUAAAACAAUUAUUUUCCCCAUAGAAAUCAAAGUGCAAAACGAAAUACAGCCAAGAGAAAUCUCAAAUACACACAAGAGAGAAUGUCAUAAAAAGUAAUAUUAACCUAAAAAGUCUCAAGAUCAACACAAUGCUUUUUCAUGAACAAGACAGACACCUCUUUCUAUAACUCAUGGGCCAACUAAAUAAAACAUUCAGGUCUUCUCAUUUUGUCUGGUAGAUGCUGAUGCAAUAGUGAAAGCUUCCCACUCUACUAACAGUCUCAUGCUGAAUUGAAGACGAUUUGCUCUGAACUCUGGACAAUCAGAAAUGGUGUUUACAGAAGUCCACUAUGCUUUCUGAAUACAUGGGUUUCUGGUUUGUUGAAGAUUUUUCCACUUUCAGUCAAGUCAACCAUCCAGCAAUCUGAUCACACCACAUUAGGUAAUGGCAUUAGAGUUUUGUUCAGAUACUUUGGCAUGCAGUGAGAAGAUGACAGAUGUUACCUUUAGCUUUAGCAUCGUAAUGAGUUCCUGUUCUCUAGCUUGUAACUGGCCUAUUUUAGCAGACAGCUCCAACACUGAACAGUUGAGACUUUGAUUUUUCUCCUAAUAAAUAGGAAGGAAAAAAGUAUCAACUAGUGACUAGUUACACUGUUACUAAAUAAACUUUCAGUAAUGCAA
Chelonia mydas (Green sea turtle) is the source of this 883-nucleotide long non-coding RNA. RefSeq lists it as uncharacterized. Lineage: Eukaryota; Metazoa; Chordata; Testudines; Cheloniidae. The record is from RefSeq and is a predicted model, not a curated record. The transcript is spliced from 2 exons.